Molecule: ribosomal RNA, 119 nt
Filed under: Cicer arietinum (chickpea)
Lineage: Eukaryota; Viridiplantae; Streptophyta; Magnoliopsida; Fabales; Fabaceae
Source: RNAcentral
AGGUGCGAUCAUAUCAGCACUAAUGCACUGGAUCCCAUGAGAACUUCGCAGUUAAGCGUGGUUGGGUGACAAUAGUACUAAAAUGGGUGACCUCUUGGGAAGUCUUUGUGUUGCACUUA